GACGAACGCUGGCGGCGUGCCUAAUACAUGCAAGUUGAGCGCUGAAGGUUGGUACUUGUACCAACUGGAUGAGCAGCGAACGGGUGAGUAACGCGUGGGGAAUCUGCCUUUGAGCGGGGGACAACAUUUGGAAACGAAUGCUAAUACCGCAUAAAAACUUUAAACACAAGUUUUAAGUUUGAAAGAUGCAAUUGCAUCACUCAAAGAUGAUCCCGCGUUGUAUUAGCUAGUUGGUGAGGUAAAGGCUCACCAAGGCGAUGAUACGUAGCCGACCUGAGAGGGUGAUCGGCCACAUUGGGACUGAGACACGGCCCAAACUCCUACGGGAGGCAGCAGUAGGGAAUCUUCGGCAAUGGACGAAAGUCUGACCGAGCAACGCCGCGUGAGUGAAGAAGGUUUUCGGAUCGUAAAACUCGGUUGGUAGAGAAGAACGUUGGUGAGAGUGGAAAGCUCAUCAAGUGACGGUAACUACCCAGAAAGGGACGGCUAACUACGUG
Molecule: ribosomal RNA, 497 nt
Filed under: uncultured bacterium
Lineage: Bacteria
Description: partial 16S ribosomal RNA
Rfam family: Bacterial small subunit ribosomal RNA
Source: RNAcentral